ACUAACAUGACUAAGGUAAGCUAAUUCCAAUUAAAUUUUGAGGCAUGUGAAAUGGCAAAAUUAAGUCAAAUGCUACAUGUUGGUGGUCAGCUUUAAGUACUUGUGCUAUUUUUGAGUGAAAAACUAAGGAAAAUAUAGUGUUAAUCACUAAAAUGUGAAAACAGACACUGUGACAUUAUGUCAAAUACAUCUGUUUAUGCCUAAGGUGACAUGAUUUGUAAAUGAUGUCAUAAAAGCCUAACUGAAGCCUGCAUGACUGUCAAAGUAAAAUUUUUAUUCGAUUUGGUUACUUUGCAUUAUAAUUAGCUGUCAUGUGAACACAGUUUGAUUCGCAUUAGUUUGAUUUGCAUUUAAUUUAGUUUACUUCGCAAUAAUUUACUGCGAAUUAAACUCUCCGUCUGAACAGGGCACUAGACUCUAAAGUCACAUGACGUCGUAGUGUAAGUUUGGCCUACAAUACCACUUUAAAGCUUGAAUGUAGCUCAAAGAAGCAAAGCACUGUGGGUCCAAAGUUACUGCAGAAAAAAAUUUAGUAUAAUUUAUUGACAAAAAAAUUGCACACAAUAUAAUAUUGCUCAGUUAAUUAAAUCAAUAUUUUAUUAUGUCAUAUGUAUGUUUCUUAGUUAAAUUGCAAAAGAAAUUUGUAAAAAAAAAAAAAUGUAAUAGUAGAGUUUGCUUUUUUUGUGAUAAGGCUGCAGAAAUGGUUUGUUUGUUAAUUAGUCUAUUGAAAAUUUUUCAGUCAUUUUAUGAUGCCACCACUUGGGAUAGUAAGCUGCAAAUAUAGACUUGUACUCAGCACUUAUUGCCUUUGAGAAGUAAGGGAUCCUUUUCGUGCCAACACCCACACCUACUGUGACACAGAAUCUCGGUUUAUACAGUCUCUUUGGAGUAACCUGUCUCUAGCAUUUAGCAGUGUGACUGUCAUCUGAGUACUGAAAUUUGAUGCCAAGCAUGAUCAUGAUUUGCCAGAAGAGCCUCUUUUGGGAGAUGACAAAGAAAAAACAGCAGACUGAAAUUGAAACAAUCAACUGAAUCAAGUCUCAGUUUAAGAAGAUGAUUUUAAAUAUAUCAUAUUUAAAUUUUGAUUUGAGAAACAGACAUAAAUCCAAAAAUAUGAUUAUAUCAAUUGCUUUCAGUUUUUCAAGAUAAAUAGAUUUUGUUGCAAAAUCUAAUAUGUUUAAUUUGGAAUAAAUGUUCUUUUAAAUAUU
Saccostrea cuccullata (small rock oyster) is the source of this 1208-nucleotide long non-coding RNA. RefSeq lists it as uncharacterized. NCBI's taxonomy places the organism in Eukaryota, Metazoa, Mollusca, Bivalvia, Ostreida, Ostreidae. The record is from RefSeq and is a predicted model, not a curated record. The transcript is spliced from 2 exons.